CUCGAUUGACUUGCCCGCACGAACGUGGCUCCGUCCCUCCCUCGAACCCUAGCUACCCCUCGUCUCCCCGCCUCCAGCCGCACCCGCCGCCGCACCCCAAUCCCCGAUCUGGCUAUCCACCUCACGACGACGCCGUUGCCCUCUCCGUCUUCCUCCUCAAGACGUCACCAUCGCCUCCCCUCCUCCAUGAUUCGGCCAUGGCCACCACCGAUGCCCUCCUCUCCAUCGCUGUCGCCAACCCUCAAUCUCCAUCGAUAUCCUCCUAGAUCGACAAAGGGAGACCUCCACCGUCGCCGUUCUUCUUCCUCCCCGACCUCCCGUCGCCGUUCUCCACGGAUCUGGCCGUGGCCACAACCGACGCUGCCGGUUACAUGGAGGAGCUCACCCCGGCCUUCUCCAUGGAUCUGGUUGAUCUGAAGGCGGGCGGCAAGGCGGGGCUCGCCGAGCGAGGUAUCCAGGCGGGGGUCGCCGGUGACGACGAGGAAUCCGGAGCGAGGGAUCCAGCAACCUAGGUAGGAGCUCGCCGGACCUGAGCGACGACGGACGGGCGCGUGAGACGGAGGGAUCUGGUGCGGUGGCAUGAAUUCCUUGCAGGUAGAGGCGGGUCUCCAUGGCUGGCAGGGAGAGCUCCAAGCCAUGGCGGGGCUUUAGUUUUCCCUGGUAGAAAAGAGAGAAAGAGGAAGAUUCAGGGAGGAGGAGAGGUAGGGAGAAGACGGUGCAGGUGCGAGCUUGGGGAAGAGGGAUCCUAACAUCAAGUGCUUAGGGAACAUCAGAGAGGAUGCCGCGAGGGGAGAGGAAUGGUGUAGUGAGAUUGAGGAAGACAGGACACAUCGGGACCCGGGAGCUCGAGAAGAGGCUCAAUCGAUCUCGACAAGAAGUGAUCUCCCCUUGGUGACAGUACUAGAUGGCCUCUCUAGGCUCCUGCCAUUGACCUGGGUAUGUGUAUAUAUUUGAUUUCUUCAACGGUUUAUUGAUGCACAAGUAAGCUUGCAAAGCGACCUGGGUAUGUGGAUAGAUUUCACUUCUUCAAGGGUUCAUUGAUGCACAAGUAAGCUUGCGACCUGGGUAUGUGGAUAGAUUUCACUUCUUCAACGGUUCAUUGAUGCACGAGUAAGCAAAGAGGCAUCCUGCUUAUCUAGCUUUCUGUCCACUGCUGUCCAUGCAACUGGUAAUGACUAGCAGCCAAGCUUUAAUUUUUUUUUCAUACAUCCGGCCUCUAAUCCCUGGCUAUUAAUUAUAUAUUUAAGCAAACACAAGAUGACGAGACAUCAUUUAAUUUUAAGAGAAUCAAUAAAUUAUUGGAACUGAAGUGGUCAUAAAUAUGAUGGUUUGAUCUGUAGGCCUCUUAUGUUUUUUCCAGAAGCAGAAAAGAUAGAAGAAUCUCAUCUCCUUCUGGCGGAACGGCAGAGGGCUUGGCUGCUACCAGGGUGAUCCAAAGGGUGUAUCUAGGUAGCAUGUUUGUGGCCUCUUGCACUAACGUGAUUAAUGGUAGCUUCAAUUCCAUGACAUGAUUUUUGCAGCUGUAACAAUAUGUUUCAUGCAUGAGGACAUAUAUUUGCAUCCUAUCUUUCUGUCGAGUUAGUUCCAAAUUACAAAUGUUUGUGCUAUCACUGACAAUUUGGUGGAAAAAGAUGAGUCGUAUAUACACCCAGUGUAAGCUUUCACAUCAGCCGUUGCUCUUGACUGUCUUUGCAAGUCCAUAGAUAUAAUUUAUUAUGAUUUUCCUUUACUCAUAGUAAGUACUGAAUAUUUUGUGCUUCAACCCUUUAGGUGUUAAUUUCUGUGAUGUGGCUAGCAAAGUUGGCCACAGGUACAGUAUAACCAUCAUGAUCUGCAGAGGGAUAUCACCUAGGUGCAUAAAUCAUAAUCAUUCAGUUUUUAUUUGGCAAGCUGGAGCUACCUGGAACUUUCAAUUUUGGUGCCAAGAUGGAUGGAUUCAACUGGGUGACCCACUGUCAGGGCGUGGCCGCGGCUGCGGCGCGGGCAGCAAGGACAAGCGCCGCAAGGGAGCCGAUGGGCGUGGGCGUGAACCGGGGAGAGGAGACCGUGGCGGAGGAGAUGAGAGAAGGCCACCAUCUUCUUUUCCCCCCUCUCCGACCAGAAACCCCUAUCUAUCCAUCCGACGAGAGAAGACUGCAGGCGGAGGAGAGGAGACGCGGGUGAGGUAAGAGGAGCCAAAUCCCCAUCAUGUUCCUCCCCACGCGCCGCCGACCCAUCCGCGGCAUUCUUUCUGGUGUGCCAGGGGAAACAACAGCAAGAUGGUGGUGCGGGUCUUCGGGUAUGGGUCCCUGAUCUGGAACCCCGGCUUCGAUUAGAAGAUCCUGAGAUUCAUCAAGGGCUACAAGCGAACGUUUAAUCUCGCUUGCAUUGACCAUAGAGGCGCACCUCAGAAUCCAUCCAGCACCUGCACCCUUGAAUUCGAAGAUGAAGAAAUAUGCGUAAGUUGACUGCAUCCAUUAAUCAAAUAUCUACAACACAUUGUACUGAUGUGCUGAAGUUUCGAUGAUUUCGAUUGGUCGCUGACAUAACCUCCUAUUUCUCCUUUUGUUUAUCGGUAUUCAACGUGAGGAAUUUCAUACAUUUGGUGUGGUGCUAGCAAAUAUAGUGACCAAAGAUAUGAUGAGAAAGGGUGGAGCUGAGUAUGCCACUCAUGGAUAUGAUUAUUUCCCCUAUGUUCUUUUUGGCAAUCCACUUCAUCACUGACUCAUCUGUGUAUGGGUGAGCUAACAAGCCUGUAUUAUGUCUUCCCUCUUUCUUUGUAAGUGAAGGAUUUCAGAUUGCUGCGCAUUAUUCAACUGCUAUACUUGUGAAAGAGAAAUGUGCUAAACUACAGUACUCCCUCCGUCGCAUGAUGAGUUUCAACGACUCUUAUUUUGGGAUGGAGGGAGUAGUAAAUUACUUUUCGUUUUUUCUUUGUUGAUCUGAUAAUAAUUAAGUUUAAAAAUAUGUCAUCUUGUAUUUCACUAAUAGGGUAGAGCCAAGGUGGCACAAGUGUGUGGCCAUGGUUUUCUUUUAUCGUUUUAUCAAAUCAAUGGAAAUAUAUCUGCACAGUUAUGGAUUGCUACUACAAAUAAUGCUUUAAAUAAUGGCAUCUUCUCAGCAACCCUUCAUGCACCCCCUCGCGAGAACCACCGAAACAUUCCCAGGAAAUUCUUCUCGCUUGCUGCAGCCCAUGGUGCACCAUCCGAUCUCUGUGUGCUGCACAGUUAUAUGUGGUCUUAUAUCCUGCACGUGUGUUGCAAGUGUUUCUCUCUACUUUGUGCUCCAAAUUUGUUUUUCCUACAAUAUGGAAGAUUAAUGUAUAUAUUCUUCUAAAGUUAUAGUACAUUCAUGGUCUGUGUAUAUCUAUUUGUAUGCUGCAAACCUGAGUCGGGCAGACAGCAACUAAUUUCUUCAUUUGCUAUCUUUAUACUCAACUUGAUUGGCAGACUUCAGGUAAUUCGUGUUCGUGUGGUAAGAAUUGAACUCAGGUGCUGCUCUUUUACCACUUUCUUGAUGCAAAUAGCAUCAAAGGACCUGUACUGCUAUGAAUUACAUCACGGAUUAUGUGCUACUUUAUUAGUUAAAGUCUCUUUGUUCAGUUAGUUCUCUAAAACAGAACCACUUCUCCUGGUGUAUAUGUUUCUUGGCAACAUUUGGUGUAAUACUAAUCUUCCAGAGAUUGUUGUAAGAAAUAACUAUAUUUAGUAUCUUUAUCUCAUCAAUGGGCUAAUUCUAUAAAAAGAACUAAUAAGGAGAUUUCUUAGCAGUACUGUAUAUGUUUGGAGCAAUGAGGUAAUUUUAUCCUAUGUUACUUUCUUUCUCUUGCAUUUCCUAAUUUUGUUUUCCACUCCAUUUUUUUAGGUUCCAAAGUUUGGCCACAACUAGCUUGAUUCGGAGACAUUUCGUAUUAGGAGUUAAACUUUGGUUUGGAGGCAUUGAGCUUUGCCAGUAACUAGCUUUGUUACUUGGUAUACUUCUGUCAGCAUUCAGGAGCCCCGUAGUUGUGUAGCGGGUCGCGGGAGAGGCAGCCGGUGAGUGCGAGCUGGACGGGAAGGUGAUGCCUGUGAUGGCGAACCAUGCCGGCGGGCAGGGAGGGUCGACGCUCUAAAUGUACUACCUGAUAGCUUGUCUUAGUCUUUAUAAAAGUGCAUAUCUACAACAUCCUUUCAUUUAUUUGGCAUAUCCUACUUUAAACAGUAUCCCUGACUCGCAUCGAUUUCAAAUAACUGAAGUAUCUUCUCUGCUCAUGUUUCCACAUAAAGACCAAUCAUGUAUAUGUACUGAUGGCAGCAUGCAUUCCAAUUUAGAGAGUUUCCAAUGCUUUCCUUUUUUCA
Aegilops tauschii subsp. strangulata is the source of this 4316-nucleotide long non-coding RNA. RefSeq lists it as uncharacterized. Lineage: Eukaryota; Viridiplantae; Streptophyta; Magnoliopsida; Poales; Poaceae. The record is from RefSeq and is a predicted model, not a curated record.